Small nuclear RNA from Cephus cinctus (wheat stem sawfly), 147 nucleotides. RefSeq annotates it as U1 spliceosomal RNA. The record is from RefSeq and is a predicted model, not a curated record. The transcript has a single exon. NCBI's taxonomy places the organism in Eukaryota, Metazoa, Arthropoda, Insecta, Hymenoptera, Cephidae.
AUACUUACCUGGCGCAAAGGUUACCGUGAUCACGAAGGCGGUUCCUUCAGGGCGAGGCUCUUCCAUUGCACAUGAUAUCGUGCGGGAUUUUAGGUUAAUAAUUGGUCUGUCGUGUUUUCGUGAUUUUACCGUAAUUUUUUAUUUCUC